RNAcentral lists this ribosomal RNA (754 nucleotides) under uncultured Actinomyces sp. Its description in RNAcentral is "bacterial SSU rRNA". It matches the Rfam family "Bacterial small subunit ribosomal RNA", at positions 28 to 776 of the family's 1533-position model. The record is from RNAcentral. Lineage: Bacteria; Bacillati; Actinomycetota; Actinomycetes; Actinomycetales; Actinomycetaceae.
GACGAACGCUGGCGGCGUGCUUAACACAUGCAAGUCGAACGCUGAAGACCUGGCUUUUGUUGGGUUGGAUGAGUGGCGAACGGGUGAGUAACACGUGAGUAACCUGCCCCCUUCUUUGGGAUAACGCCCGGAAACGGGUGCUAAUACUGGAUAUUCACUGGCCUUCGCAUGGGGGUUGGUGGAAAGGUUUGUUCUGGUGGGGGAUGGGCUCGCGGCCUAUCAGCUUGUUGGUGGGGUGAUGGCCUACCAAGGCUUUGACGGGUAGCCGGCCUGAGAGGGUGACCGGUCACAUUGGGACUGAGAUACGGCCCAGACUCCUACGGGAGGCAGCAGUGGGGAAUAUUGCACAAUGGGCGAAAGCCUGAUGCAGCGACGCCGCGUGAGGGAUGGAGGCCUUCGGGUUGUAAACCUCUUUCGCUCAUGGUCAAGCCGCAACUGUGGGUUGUGGUGAGGGUAGUGGGUAAAGAAGCGCCGGCUAACUACGUGCCAGCAGCCGCGGUAAUACGUAGGGCGCGAGCGUUGUCCGGAAUUAUUGGGCGUAAAGGGCUUGUAGGCGGUUGGUCGCGUCUGCCGUGAAAUCCUCUGGCUUAACUGGGGGCGUGCGGUGGGUACGGGCUGACUUGAGUGCGGUAGGGGAGACUGGAACUCCUGGUGUAGCGGUGGAAUGCGCAGAUAUCAGGAAGAACACCGGUGGCGAAGGCGGGUCUCUGGGCCGUUACUGACGCUGAGGAGCGAAAGCGUGGGAGCGAACAGG